GGCUUCAACAGCCCCGUAGGUCGGGUCACAGCCCAGCAACACUGACAGUGGACCUACUGGAGCC
This 64-nucleotide small RNA is filed under the name unclassified sequences. RNAcentral's name for it is "NAD+-I sequence". It matches the Rfam family "nadA riboswitch". The record is from Rfam by way of RNAcentral.